Molecule: transfer RNA, 73 nt
Filed under: Dipodomys ordii (Ord's kangaroo rat)
Lineage: Eukaryota; Metazoa; Chordata; Mammalia; Rodentia; Heteromyidae
Rfam family: tRNA
About the family: Transfer RNA (tRNA) molecules are approximately 80 nucleotides in length. Their secondary structure includes four short double-helical elements and three loops (D, anti-codon, and T loops). Further hydrogen bonds mediate the characteristic L-shaped molecular structure. tRNAs have two regions of fundamental functional importance: the anti-codon, which is responsible for specific mRNA codon recognition, and the 3' end, to which the tRNAs corresponding amino acid is attached (by aminoacyl-tRNA synthetases). tRNAs cope with the degeneracy of the genetic code in two manners: having more than one tRNA (with a specific anti-codon) for a particular amino acid; and 'wobble' base-pairing, i.e. permitting non-standard base-pairing at the 3rd anti-codon position.
Source: Rfam by way of RNAcentral
GGAGGAAUGGCUGAAUUGGUAGAGUAUCUGCCUUGCAAGUAGGAGACCUUGAGUUCAAAUACUAGUUGUGCCA